GCCGGAUCAACCAAGACGUGCCUACACAUGCAAAUCGAAUGAAAGAAUUAAUUAUUGUUUUCAUGGUGAACGGGUGAGUAACACAUAAGAAUCAGCUUUUAGAUAAGGCAUAAAAGAGUAAUAUCUUGGUAAUUCCUUAUAUGCGCAGCAGUGCUUAAAAAGGGGAGUCCCGUCUAAAAACGAGCUUAUGCCUGAUUAGCUAGUUGGCGAGUUAAAAGCUCACCAAGGCGAAGAUCAGUAGCUGGCCUGAGAGGGCGGCCAGCCACAUUGGGACUGAGACACGGCCCAAACUCCUACGGGAGGCAGCAGUGGGGAAUCUUCUGCAAUGGGCGCAAGCCUGACAGAGCGGCGUCGUGUGAAGGAAGAAGGCCUGAAAUAGGUUGUAAACUUCUUUUACUGAAUAAUGAAUAAUGACAACGCAGUAAAAAAGUAUCGGCUAACUCCGUGCCAGCAGCCGCGGUAAUACGGGGGAUGCAAGCGUUAUCCGGAAUCACUGGGCGUAAAGCGUCUGUAGGUGGUUUAGUGUGUUCUUAGUUAAAUUCUGAAGCCUAACUUCAUGAAAAGUAAGAAAACUAUUAGACUUGAGUACGAUAGGGGUAAGAGGAAUUCUUCGAGAAGUAGUGAAAUGCGAAGAUACGAAGGAGAAGAUCAUAAGCGAAGGCUUCUUACUGGGUCGUAACUGACACUGAGAGACGAAAGCUAGGGGAGCGAAUGGGAUUAGAUACCCCAGUAGUCCUAGCUGUAAACGAUGGAUAUUCGGUGCCGGAAAUUUUAUUAGAACAUUUCGGUACCCUAGCUAACGCGUUAAAUAUCCCGCCUGAGGAGUACGCUCGCAAGGGUGAAACUCAAAUGAAUUGACGGAAGGGC
This 867-nucleotide ribosomal RNA is filed under the name uncultured bacterium. RNAcentral's name for it is "bacterial SSU rRNA". It matches the Rfam family "Bacterial small subunit ribosomal RNA", at positions 24 to 922 of the family's 1533-position model. The record is from RNAcentral.